This 1796-nucleotide long non-coding RNA is filed under the name Lathyrus oleraceus (garden pea). RNAcentral describes it as "Pisum sativum (pea) long non-coding RNA (PSAT_LNC040479)". Lineage: Eukaryota; Viridiplantae; Streptophyta; Magnoliopsida; Fabales; Fabaceae. The record is from RNAcentral.
AAAAAUCGGUUGAAUCGUUAAAAUUUGAGGAAAGACUGUAUUUUUAAUAAUGUGUUUUGUGCUGACAAUUUUAGUGUGACUGGUUUAAUUUUUUUCGAAUAAAAUUUAUACUCGAUUUUUAUUUUUUUUUAAUUGGUCAAAUAUUUUUUAGAAUGAUAUUAAAAAUUAGUUAGUUUUUUUAAAUAUUAGUUAGAUUUUUUAAAUAUUAGUUAGUUUAAAUAUUAAUUAGUUUUUAAAUUUUAGUUAUUUAAUUAAAUAUUAGUUGUUUUUUUAUUAGUUAGUUUAUUUAAAAUAUUAGUUAGAUUUUUUAAACAUUAUGUUAAUUAGUUCUUUAUUAAUGUUUUGUAUAUAAUUGAAUUAUUAGUGUAAUUAAAAAAAUGUGUUAGCAUUGGAUUCCAUGAUCUCUCUUCUCUCUUCCAUAAAAAACAAAAAAAUCUCUUUGUACCUCUCUCUCACGUUUUCCCUAACGUCUCCCUCAUUUCACUCUCCACUGUCUCUCCACUCACCUACCACUAUCACUCACCCACUAAAAUUUCCACUCACCUCUCCCUCCUCAGAUAAACGACAAAAAAAAGAAAAAAUAAAAUCCCUCCUAUCCUCUCUCACUGCUAUUCACUCUCUCACUCACGCUCCAUUCCCUCUCCCUCUCACUCAUAAAUAACACUUACUAUUCACUCCCUCUCUCGCCUCCACGGAAAAACCACACACAUCACCCUUUCGCUCACUCACAUCUCCUUCACCACCAUCAAAUUUCUUCACCGAAAUCACAACCCAAAAUUCCUUCCACCACCUCAAAAACAAUCGCCGAUAGUCACCGUCAACACCAUCGACCACCAAAUCUCACCGUCAAUCAUCUUCAAACCGCUUCAAACCCUCAGCUCGCCGCGAAUUCUACGGCGAAUCCACCGUCCACCGCCGAUUCCAUCUCUUCAUCUCACACAAAACCCUCCGCCUCCACUAAGUUCUUCAAUCACUACAAGAAACCCUCUAUCAUCACCGUAACCGAAGCCGCCGGUGACUCUUUGAAGCUUUAGAGCCAUAGGUAUGUCAAGCGAUGAUGUAUUUCAAGUUGUUGCUGCGGUUACAUUGUGAUUCUGCUACAACCAAUAUAGUGAUUACGACGACUUUCCGAUGCACCGGUGUUAGAGCUGACAUCACAGUUUGUUUCAAUAAUUUCAGCCUUCAAGUUCUCGUGGGUAACUGUUUUUAGUUUCGGUUCAAUUAAAUUUUUCUGUGCUGGAUAUUUCUGAACGCCAUUUGAGUUAUUGUCGAUUAGCAUUUUAUUCUUAUCUUUGAAACUCUGCAGAAAUAAUGAGAAACAUGAAUGCAGUUUGUUUUUUUUGGAAUUUAGGUGAUGAUUUUUUCGAUGCUUGUGGUACCCAUUCUGUUAAAGUAAUUUUUAAUCUUCAUAUAUUGUUUUUGAUUGCUGCAUGAAUGAGAUGAAUGUUAUAGUUACUGAGCAAAGACUGCUUGCAGUUACUUUUUUCUGCUUUGGAUCUAUUGUAGAUAUAGUUGGAUUUGAAGUUUUCAAUAGAGGGGGCCAUGGGUGCUUUCUUUGUUUUUUUUGUUUUUUGAAUGAUUCUGAGUUAGGAUGUCCAUAACAUUUUGGAUUCAUGAGUUGUAUUUUGUUGUUCUAUAAUCUAUUUCUGUCACAUUUCAUUUAAAACAUUAUGCUGGAAUUCGUUUGUAUAUAAAUUGUUGUAGGACCAGUUUGAUUGUUAUCCGUAAGAGCUUUCGUGCGACUUAAUACGACGGGUCAAUACGUGUGCUGUAAAUUGCAUUUAUCGAUUAUCGGU